GUUAUUCGGCUUCGGGAGCCGCAGGGGCCAGACGGCCCAGGGCUCCAUAGACCACGUCUACACGGGUUCCGGAUACCGAAUCCGGGACUCCGAACUGCAGAAGAUCCACAGGGCAGCUGUCAAAGGCGACGCCGCGGAGGUGGAGCGCUGCUUGGCGCGCAGGAGCGGAGACCUGGACGCCCUGGACAAGCAGCACAGAACUGCUCUACACUUGGCCUGUGCCAGUGGCCAUGUGCAAGUGGUCACUCUCCUGGUUAACAGAAAAUGCCAGAUUGAUGUCUGUGACAAAGAAAACAGAACGCCUUUGAUACAGGCUGUCCAUUGCCAGGAAGAGGCUUGUGCCGUUAUUCUGCUGGAACAUGGCGCCAAUCCAAACCUUAAGGAUAUCUACGGCAACACUGCUCUCCAUUAUGCCGUGUAUAGUGAGAGCACCUCACUGGCAGAAAAACUGCUUUCCCAUGGUGCACAUAUUGAAGCACUGGACAAGGACAAUAAUACCCCACUUUUAUUUGCUAUAAUUUGCAAGAAAGAGAAAAUGGUGGAAUUUUUAUUGAAAAGGAAAGCAAGUUCACAUGCCGUUGAUAGGCUGAGACGGUCAGCUCUCAUGCUUGCUGUAUACUAUGACUCACCAGGUAUUGUCAAUAUCCUUCUUAAGCAAAAUAUUGAUGUCUUCGCUCAAGACAUGUGUGGACGAGAUGCAGAAGAUUAUGCUAUUUCUCAUCAUUUGACAAAAAUUCAACAACAAAUUUUGGAACAUAAAAAGAAGAUACUUAAAAAGGAGAAAUCAGAUGUUGGAAGUUCUGAUGAAUCUGCAGUCAGCAUUUUCCAUGAACUGCGUGUGGAUUCAUUGCCUGCAUCGGAUGACAAAGACUUGAAUGUUGCUACUAAGUGUGUCCCCGAGAAAGUGUCAGAGCCUUUACCUGGAUCUUCGCAUGAAAAAGGAAACAGAAUAGUCAAUGGACAAGGAGAAGGGCCUCCUGCAAAACAUCCUUCCUUGAAGCCUAGCACUGAAGUAGAAGAUCCUGCUGUGAAAGGAGCAGUACAAAGAAAGAAUGUACAGACAUUGAGAGCAGAACAAGCCUUACCAGUGGCUUCAGAGGAAGAGCAAGAAAGGCAUGAAAGAAGUGAAAAGAAGCAACCACAGGUCAAAGAAGGAAAUAAUACAAACAAAAGUGAAAAAAUACAACUUUCAGAAAAUAUAUGUGAUAGUACAUCUUCUGCUGCUGCUGGCAGAUUAACCCAACAAAGAAAGAUUGGGAAAACGUAUCCUCAGCAAUUUCCCAAGAAGCUGAAGGAAGAGCAUGAUAGAUGCACCUUAAAACAAGAAAAUGAAGAAAAAACAAAUGUUAAUAUGCUGUACAAAAAAAAUAGAGAAGAAUUAGAAAGGAAAGAGAAACAAUAUAAGAAAGAAGUUGAAGCAAAACAACUUGAACCAACUGUUCAGUCACUAGAGAUGAAAUCAAAGACUGCAAGAAAUACUCCAAAUCGGGAUUUUCAUAAUCAUGAAGAAAUGAAAGGUCUGAUGGAUGAAAAUUGCAUUUUGAAGGCAGAUAUUGCUAUACUCAGACAGGAAAUAUGUACAAUGAAAAAUGACAACUUGGAAAAAGAAAAUAAAUAUCUUAAGGACAUUAAAAUUGUUAAAGAAACAAAUGCUGCCCUUGAAAAGUAUAUAAAACUCAAUGAGGAAAUGAUAACAGAAACAGCAUUCCGGUAUCAACAAGAGCUUAAUGAUCUCAAGGCUGAGAAUACAAGGCUCAAUGCCGAACUGUUGAAGGAAAAAGAAAGCAAGAAAAGACUGGAAGCUGACAUUGAAUCUUAUCAGUCUAGACUGGCUGCUGCUAUAAGCAAACACAGUGAAAGUGUGAAAACAGAAAGAAACCUAAAACUUGCUUUAGAGAGAACACGAGAUGUUUCUGUACAAGUAGAAAUGAGUUCUGCUAUUUCCAAAGUAAAAGAUGAGAAUGAGUUUCUUACUGAACAACUUUCUGAAACACAAAUUAAAUUCAAUGCCUUAAAAGAUAAGUUCCGUAAGACAAGAGAUAGUCUCAGAAAAAAGUCAUUGGCUUUAGAAACUGUACAAAACGACCUAAGCCAAACACAGCAGCAAACACAGGAAAUGAAAGAGAUGUAUCAAAAUGCAGAAGCUAAAGUGAAUAAUUCCACUGGAAAGUGGAACUGUGUAGAAGAGAGGAUAUGUCACCUCCAACGUGAAAAUGCGUGGCUUGUACAGCAACUAGAUGACGUUCAUCAGAAAGAGGAUCAUAAAGAGAUAGUAACUAAUAUCCAAAGAGGCUUUAUUGAGAGUGGAAAGAAAGACCUCGUGCUAGAAGAGAAAAGUAAGAAGCUAAUGAAUGAAUGUGAUCAUUUAAAAGAAAGUCUCUUUCAGUAUGAGAGAGAGAAAACAGAAGGAGUAAUAUAAGAAACUCCUGGAAAUGACAAUAAAUAUGUUAAAUGUAUUUGGAAAUGAAGACUUUGAUUGCCAUGGAGACUUAAAAACAGAUCAACUGAAAAUGGAUAUUCUGAUUAAGAAGCUAAAACAGAAGUUUGAUGAUCUUACGGCAGAGAAGGAAGCUUUAUCUUCAAAAUGUGUCAAUUUGGCUAAAGACAAUCAAGUUCUUCAACAGGAGUUUUUAUCUAUGAAAAAAGUACAACAGCAAUGUGAGAAACUUGAGGAGGAUAAAAAGAUGUUGAAAGAAGAAAUAUUAAAUCUUAAGACACAUAUGGAAAACAAUAGGGUAGAACUUAGUAAACUACAAGAAUAUAAAUUGGAGCUAGAUGAAAAGGCAGUGCAGGCAGUAGAAAAAUUAGAAGAAAUCCAUUUACAGGAACAAGCACAAUAUGAAAAACAAUUAGAGCAGUUAAACAAGGAUAAUAUGGCUUCACUAAAUAAAAAGGAACUCACACUUAAAGAUGUGGAAUGUAAAUUCUCAGAAAUGAAAACUGCUUAUGAAGAGGUUACAACCGAAUUAGAAGAAUAUAAGGAAGCCUUUGCAGCAGCAUUGAAAGCUAACAAUUCCAUGUCAAAAAAAUUAACAAAAUCAAAUAAGAAAAUAGCAGUGAUCAGCAUGAAGCUCCUUAUGGAGAAAGAGCAGAUGAAAUAUUUUCUCAGUGCUCUUCCUACAAGGCGAGACCCAGAGUCACCUUGUGUUGAAAAUCUUACUAGUAUAGGACUCAACAGAAAAUAUAUUCCCCAAACACCCAUAAGAAUUCCUAUUUCAAGCCCACAGACUUCAAAUAACUGCAAGAACUCUUAGACUGUGAUGGAGCUGGACUGUGUAGAACAAAUAACUAGAGAAACAAAGAGAAUUGUUGCUGUGUUGAACACUUGCUCCCGUCUACUUACUUCUCUAUAAUCCACUGCCAUGGAAUGAGUGAUUUUUCUUAGAAGCAGAGGUGGAGCCACUGAGGAAGCACAGGCGAGCCCUCCCCAGCACGUGCUCACUGGUCCCCAACAGAACAACCGCUGCCGCAUCCAUGAGCCGUUUUGCACACCCUGGUCAGAAUGAAACAUUCCUUGGGAACUCGGGCCGUGAGAAGCAUCCUUCCUGAUCACCUGACUGUAGAAACAUCCUUAUCGCACCCUCCCGGGCAAAGGCCCAACAGCCUGACUGCAGGAACAUCCUUGCCAUAUCCUGCCGGGCAGCAAGCUCUACCGCCCACACCCCUCCUUCCCAGUCCCAUGAUCACCCCAGCCUGUGAGAGGCAGUUGGUGCUGGCAGUAAGCUGGUUUCCUCCUCUGCAGGGUUUUGCUAGUAAUAAA
Molecule: long non-coding RNA, 3760 nt
Organism: Homo sapiens (human)
Lineage: Eukaryota; Metazoa; Chordata; Mammalia; Primates; Hominidae
Source: Ensembl